This 228-nucleotide ribosomal RNA is filed under the name uncultured bacterium. Its description in RNAcentral is "partial 16S ribosomal RNA". It matches the Rfam family "Bacterial small subunit ribosomal RNA", at positions 113 to 334 of the family's 1533-position model. The record is from RNAcentral.
CGACGUGGGUAACCUGCCUCGUACAGGGGGAGUAACUAUUGGAAACGAUAGCUAAUACCGCAUAACAAUGGAUGACACAUGUCAUUUAUUUUGAAAGGGGCAAUUGCUCCACUACAAGAUGGACCUGCGUUGUAUUAGCUAGUAGGUGAGGUAACGGCUCACCUAGGCGACGAUACAUAGCCGACCUGAGAGGGUGAUCGGCCACACUGGGACUGAGACACGGCCCAG